CCUCAUCCACCAAAUCUCUUAGGAAAGAAAGAGUUGUAGUGCUGAAACUCCACAGAAACAGCAAGUCCAGGCAGUGGAAGCAUUCUGGUUACAAAUGAAACAUCCACAUGGAACAGGAGUGCAGUCAGCGUUAAAGGCUGGAGUGUUAAAGGGAGCCUAGAAAACAAGAGGUGCAAAGAAAUGACUUGAUCCAUUCCGUUUCGCAUGCUGGUUUGCAAUUGUCUUCCCAGCAACAGCUCUUCACUUCAGCAAGCAGCAGUUGCUUCCACAUUCCAGUUUCUUUCAGCAGUCUCAGAACCAGCCCCCACUAGGUUUCAGUGUCAGCUGAAAGGGAGGCUUUACUCAGAGGUCUGAGUUACAGCUCCUCCUCUGAGCUCUCAGGUGCCAGUCCAAUGGAUGCACUCUGUCUUGCAAGGUAUAGUUCCUAGAUUAUCAGGGACCCCUCCUCUAGGCUUCUAGGUUCUUAUCAUCCUAAUAUCUUUAUGUUGGCUCCUGGUCAUAAUGGUGGUAGCUGUUUCCUAGAGUUAUUCUCUCUGUGUUAACUUGGUGUUUCAGGGCAGCUUUUUAGUCCUCCAAUGCCUGUUCAACCAGUUCCCUACCUUAAAUUCUCUCUGAAAAAUAACUUGUUUUUUGUGUUCCUGGAAGGACUCUGCUUGUUUUUGGGGGUCUGCAUUAUCUAGUUUGGGUUUCUACCAGAGUAGCCCGAAAUGUCUUCCCUGCAGUGUGAAUGGUUACAUUGAGUUUCUUAAGUUCCCUCACCUCUAGGUAUCUUUAUGUUAAAUUUGGUCAUUGCUUCUCCACAUGGAUAGAGCAUAUCCAGCCUGACUCAAGGUUGCACCCUGCUGGUUGAAAAUAGAUAGCUGGUAGACGAGGUAAAAAGAGGCUAUCCUGACAGAGCUCAGUUGCCAAAGUGUUUGGAUAAAAUCAGUUCUUGAACCAAUACUCUACGCCUUACAUCAAUGACCUUACUCAAACUUUUUGUCAUUUGGUUUUGUGACACUUUCAUCCCCUAUACCUCAUUUGUAAAUUAAUUUUAAUUUUUUUUUUUUUUUUUUU
This is a long non-coding RNA of Sapajus apella (tufted capuchin), 1056 nucleotides long. RefSeq lists it as uncharacterized. NCBI's taxonomy places the organism in Eukaryota, Metazoa, Chordata, Mammalia, Primates, Cebidae. The record is from RefSeq and is a predicted model, not a curated record. The transcript is spliced from 3 exons.